GAGCGGAGCUGAGAGGAGGGGCUAGGGGUCCCGGGGCCGCGGAGGCCGGAAGAGGAGCCCGCGGGCGAAGGAGGCGCGGGAGAGGCUGCGCGGCGGGUAGCAGAGGGCCCUAGGAGCUUCUACGGGCCUCAAGUCUACCCGGUGACGUCGAUGCAUUCAGGAUUCCUGGCUGCCGUUGGCGGAGACUGCAGGGCUGCCUCUGGCGGGUAAAGGCUCCUUGACUUCUGGGAAGCCGGUCUGCUCUCAGCCACUUCCGUGGACUUCACUGUGACUGCUGCUGCCUUCAUUUGACAGGAAAAGGGAGAGGUAGUGAACUAAAAUAGUUCCACAUUUAGGAAGUGGCACGAUAUGGCUGGAAGACAGUUAAUUAAACACUUUGUAGGUGAAGUAGACCAGAACAUCACAACACGUUUGUGUUUCAUGCCCCAAAUAAGAAUAUGCACAAGGUUCAGUGGUGUUUAGAAGAGUCCUGCCCUGUGGUUCUAGCACCAGGGAGGGAGGGCAGUGUCAGGAACACCUUCCUGAAGGAGGUGAGGUGAUGUGUGAUUGGGGUUUGGAAGAAGGAAUAGGAGUUUCAGGAGCAGCUACAGGUGGAGAAAUGGGCACAGUCAACAUUUUUCAAGUAUUCAGGAGGGUUGGGCAAAAGUAGAGUGUAGGUUGGAAUGAAGCCAAAAUAACAAAAGAGGACCAAAUCCAAGUGUUUUGGUUUUUUUCCCAUAGAGGCUAAAGAGCAUUAAUUUGAGCCUUGGUUAGAAGAAAGCCAGAAGGAGUUUGAUCAUGGGGGGUAUGUCAGUUGUUCCAGAAAGGUUAAUCUGAAAACAGCAUGGAGAAUGCCAGAACCAGGAAACUUGCUUAUGAAGUUACUGAUAUCUGUCAGGUUGGGUUACUGUGGUAGGCAGAAAGAUAAAUCCGGGAAGGAUGUCCACUCCCUAACCCCUGGCACAUUUUGCAGAUAUGCUGAAGUUUAAAGACAAUGCAAUGAAGAGCUUAUCCUGGAUUAUGUGAGUGGGUCUAAUCGAACCAUGUGAGCUCCAUAAAGUAAAAGAGUGGGUCAGAGAGAUUGAAAGUAUGAGAGGAACUGGACCUAGUUUAGUAGCCAAGGAAUGGGUGGCCUAUAGAAGUUGGAAAUGGACUUCAGACAACAAAAAAAAUGGGAAUCUCAAUCCUAUGAACCCCCAAGGAAGUAAAUUCUCCCAAUAAUCCAAAUGAGCAGAGGAAAGAGGAUCUUCCCUUAGAGCCUACAGAAGGGAACUGUGCUCUUGAGGUAACACUUUGAUUUUAUCCUGUUGAGACCUACACUGGACUUCUACUUUACAACUGUAAAAUAAUAAUUAUAAAUAAUAAAUUUGUGUUGUUUUGAAACCUUA
Nyctereutes procyonoides (raccoon dog) is the source of this 1367-nucleotide long non-coding RNA. RefSeq lists it as uncharacterized. The record is from RefSeq and is a predicted model, not a curated record. The transcript has 2 exons. NCBI's taxonomy places the organism in Eukaryota, Metazoa, Chordata, Mammalia, Carnivora, Canidae.